RNAcentral lists this long non-coding RNA (2447 nucleotides) under Sus scrofa (pig). RNAcentral describes it as "lncRNA (ENSSSCG00000056476.1, ENSSSCG00105036936.1, ENSSSCG00110026377.1)". Lineage: Eukaryota; Metazoa; Chordata; Mammalia; Artiodactyla; Suidae. The record is from RNAcentral.
AGGUCUAAUUAAUAUCCAUCACCAUGCAUCACCAAUUUACAAUUUUUUUCUUGUGAUGAGAGUCUUUUUUUUUUUUCCUUUGGCUGUACCUGUGGCAUGCAAAAAUUCCAGGGCCAGGGAUCGAACCCGAGCCACAGCAGUAACCAGAGCUACAGCAGUGACAACUCCAGGUCCUUAACCUACCAAACCACCAGGGAACUCCUCUUGUGUGGACACCUUUGAAGAUCUACUCUCGUGGCCACUUUCAGAUAUGUGUAUAAUACAGUAUUAUUAACUAUAGUUGCCAUGUUUAUUUUUUCUAUAACUAGAAGUUUCUACCUUUGACUCUUUUUAUCAUUUCACCACUCUCUGCUCCCUGCUUCUGGCAACUGCCAAGCUGUUCUCUGUACCUAUGAGCUUUGGUUUAUUUGUUUGUUUGCUUUUAGAUUCCAUAUAAAAGUGAGAUCACAUGGCAUUUAUCUUCUUUGACUUACUUCAUUUAGCACAGUGCCCUUAAGGUGCAUCCACGUUGUCACGAAUGGCACAAUUUUCUCUUUUUUUUAUGGCAUGUGGGUACGCCAUGUUUUCCCUAGUCAUUCAUCCAUCAAUGGACACUUUUGUUCCAUGUUUUGGAUAUUGUAAAUUAUGCUGCAAUGAACAUGGGGUUACAAUUCCUCACUUUCUAAUAUGCUAUAGUUACCUUUUACUUCAUUGGGAAGUAAAAUUUCUUAAUAAUUGUAUGAAAAGGAACGGAAAUAAAGAUUUCCUGAGUCAAAUGAGCUCCCAGUGUGGAAAAUCUUAUCCUAGGUAGAGCCUGCACUCUCAGAUAUUCAUCUAUAUCAAAGGCUUUUCAGGUCAAGCAGAAACAAAAGGUGCUGAGAAAUAGAGAGGGAGGGAUCCUGAUGUUCUCACAGCCAAGACCUUCUCCGGUGAACACUGUCGAGUGUGUUUGUGUUGUCUCGUAGGAUAAUUUCAGAAGCAAUUGAAAUAACGGGGAAUUUUCUCCUUCCUUCACUCACAGAGAGCAUGGGGCCAGCAUCUGAGAAAAAUCAAAGGCAAUAAAUAAACAAUCCACUGGGGGGAAAAGAAACUAAAUGACCCACUGCCAAGUGUUUACUUGCAGAUUCUGGAAGUCUUGAUGAGGCCAGGUUUUGAAAGUAAUUUGAAAAGUGGAAUGAACACAUUACUGUGAAACGCAGUACGCACUUAGCAAGGAUGGUUGACUUUUAACUUUUACCUUGAAUCCCUUCACUAUGGAAUUGAACAUAAACGUCUUUUGUCAACAGAUGAAAUGAAGCGAAAAGGCAUCUCCGCGCCGCCUGUUUCUUCUCAAGGAGAAAGAGCCACUCUUCCUGGUAACUGAUGCUGACAACAAAAGGGCUCAUGGUUUAUAUUUCAUUUACUAAAGUUCUUGAAAUCGAAAUCUGUUUAAAAGCCUUUGUAAGUCGCUCUCUUUCCCACCUGAUAAAGGCUUCCGUGCCAUUUCUGAAGUUGCCGUGGAAGGAAGGUCUGAAUCUAUUGGCUGGCACUUGCGAAUUAAGAAAUUUUGCACACACAGUGAGUGUGGCCGUGCAGGAAACCACCACCCAUCACAAGCUGAAUUAUUUCAUCCAGUUCUUAACCUGGAGGGCUCUGUUCCCCUCAGGGCAAUUAAUGAAGCAAACAGGACCAGGGUUGGUACUUUUGACAGAUUAGAACAAAGGCUCUUGCGUUGGGGCCUUCAUGGGUCUCCUAGUGGAGAGUCCUCAUAAACCCUGUAUAACAGAUCUUUCAAUUCUUCCUCAAAAGCUCUCUUGUCACCACGGGAGGUUUGCUACUUGCAAAUUUCUCUAUUGCUGUUUUCAUUUCCUCCUCGGUAAUAGAGGCAAUCAGUUUCUCAUUACCCAGAAGAUCCAGUUUUGGCAUUUUAAUUUUAGUCAGAAUUUCCAUAAUCUCUCUGUUAUCAGCUGUGAGCUCCGAUGCAAAUAUCAGUUUGGAGAACAAAUGAAAAAAAAAAAAAAAGAGCAAGAGAAACUUUUUACCUUAUUGCUCUCUAAUGAUCAAAUGUAGGACCUGCUGACAUGAAAAAAACUAUAGUGUUUUGUGAUUUUGAGUCUUAUUAAUGCAUUAGCUAACCCUGACAUUGGCAUACGUAUUUAUAAAAUUUGAUUCAAAAAACUUUAGGAAAAUUUUAGCAUAAUACAAUGUGAGGCUUUAACAUUCCCUGGGUUUCUGUGUUGGGUGUAGAACCCCGUUAGGUGUUAUCAGGAUCCUGGGGAACAGGUUUAGGUCCGAGUGGAGAAAAUUUAGUGCUUUUCGGCAAGGGGGCUAUUUUACUGAUGUGUUAUAGCGUCGGGCCCUGAAUAUAAGCACUGAUGUCUAGUGAUUUUGUGCCAAACUCCACUCCUUUAUCCACCAUCGUUGGCCUGAUGUAUUUUGAAGGAUAAAAAGACUUACAAUUUAGGAGAAGAGAUAACAUAUACAAAACC